Molecule: transfer RNA, 91 nt
Filed under: Mustela putorius furo (domestic ferret)
Lineage: Eukaryota; Metazoa; Chordata; Mammalia; Carnivora; Mustelidae
Rfam family: tRNA
About the family: Transfer RNA (tRNA) molecules are approximately 80 nucleotides in length.
Source: Rfam by way of RNAcentral
GCCUGGGUGGCUCAGUGGGUUAAGCAUCUGACUCUUGAUUUUAGCUCAGGUCAUGAUCUCAGGAUCAUGGGAUCAAGCCCCGUAUCAGGCA